AACAAAUAUACCUCCAAAAUAGUCAAUAUACUCGUACACAUGCCAACCAAUGGCUCAUACCACACACCACAUAAUCUCCAGUAACAAAACUCGUGGAACGAUUGCUUGAAGUGGGCUGGUGGCAGAAACGUCACAUAUCCACUCCUGGAUAACCUCGAAAUCAUGACCGAAGAAACUGAUAACUCCCGAGAAAACUGACGAACUUAAACAUCGCCCAACUGCUGAACAUCUGGCGAGAACCCUGUUAGUCGAAGGACGAAUGACGAUGUUUUUACUCAUCGUCAUAGAAAGAGACAUUUGAGUUAGUAAUCACUGGACAGAAUGGUGCUAAAAGAAUUUCGAAAUAUAUUAAUAAAUAUUUUUUUUUUAAAAAAAACAAAAAGAACGUUGAAAACCGAUGAAAACCGAAUCCCCUGACCGCCAUCCCGGACGGAACCGGGAUGGAACCCCGCUCUGAUACCAAAAUUGCCACACCCGUCACCUCCUAUCUGGAGGACAGCGUGUCACCCCCGACGCGUCAUCAUACAACAAUGUGACAUCCGUCUCCUUCUCACUAAGGACGACGGGCCACCAACAAUAUCCCAUAAUAUAAAAGCCCAUAAACUCAAUAACGCUCACCCAAAACCCAAAUAAAAAUCUGUAGGAAAAGUCCAGUAGCACCAAGUCCGUCCAAAUAUCACAUACUUAUUUGUCUCACCUGAAAAAGGGGAAGAGUGAGGGGGGUGAGCGAUAGGUGAAUCGCCCAAUGAGGUAUGGGGGAUGCUACCCCGAAGUCCAUGGACCCGGACAUAGCACUCCGAAUAAAUAUAAAUUAAUUCUAAUGCAUGUCAAACACGGUACCUAAAGUACCCAAGCAACAAACAAUGGUCCUAGCGAGGUGCACACUCGCCGCCCACUAACAGGCCAAAAACAUAACACAACUCGAGAUAGUGCUCGGACACCGCCCGUGGACGAUUUAUCGACACUUCCAGGCUACAGCUCAACCGGUCGACUAAAGUUGGCCAUAACCUCAUACAAUCCGGCAUACAGAAGUCCGUCUCUGUAUCCGUCUCCACACAAAAACAAUCCUAGCUAAGAUUUUACAUUUAAGUGAAACAAUCAAUGUUGAAUCCUCUAGCCCCCUAGUUCCGGUUUAUGCAAAGAACCUAAUAACUAAACAAGCAAUGACAGACUCGAUUUCAAGCAGACGGAACACAUUAGAAAUAAGUUAUAUUUAUUCGAGGUCCUAAGCCGUGUAAGAGGAGUUCGGGAAUAGACCCUCACCUUAGCAAUAGAAAAGUAGUGUUUAUGAACUCCAGCUGCUCA
Molecule: long non-coding RNA, 1305 nt
Filed under: Brassica napus (rape)
Lineage: Eukaryota; Viridiplantae; Streptophyta; Magnoliopsida; Brassicales; Brassicaceae
Description: long non-coding RNA (BNAP_LNC001540)
Source: RNAcentral